AGGCAGCCAGUCACCUCUGGCCACUUGGGCCCCAGGGCUGCUCGGGGCACCCAGGCGCUCCUGAAGAAGAGGCCCAUUGUUGUGUUUGGGGGCAGCCCCUCCCAGGAGUUUAUGAAGCAAAAAAGAGCUCUGAGGUCACACUAGUCCAACAGCACACAACGGGCAACACCCUUCUGUGCCAAUGAACAAACAAACAGCUGCCUCCCCAGCCCAGCAUCGUGGGGCCUGGGGACCUGAGUGCUCAGGUCACCCGGCAAGCCGGCACAGGUGCAGCAACAGAAUGGGUGGGUGGGGGGGCGCUGGUGAGCACCAUCCCAGAAAACCAAGGCCAAGGAGAGAGGAGAGCCUCCUGGCCACCAUCCCCUCCUGUCUGUGGGCUUCUAUGAAGUGACUGGCCUAUCAAGCCAGAGGCCCAAGGGCUGCUGGCAGGGAACAAACACACAAGAGCAAAGGGUGAAAGCCCUCAAGUUUGAGGCCAGGUUGCCUGACUGAGGCCCUGAACUGGACCCCACUCAAGGGAGCAAAGGCCACACCUCCGUAUCAGGGGCCAUGGGCAGAAACGAGAAGACCAACCUUUAGAGAAGGAGGUGCACAGGGCCUUACAUACAUUCCCUAGCCCAUCCGACGGGCCAACCAAACAGACCUGGGGGUCUGUCCAGACCCUGCUGCUCCAUACUCUGUCUCAGCACCAAUAAACUGAUGUCAGCCUCUCACCGUGAGUCUCUCACCAAGUGAGUCUCUCACCAAGACACCCAGGGCACCCUCCGCCCACCUACAGUGCCACGCCAGGCAGCGCCUCCCCACCAACUGUACCACCGCUGCCCCCUAUGCCAGAUCCCCUGCUAGAUCUGCUAGACCCUCUGCUAGAUCUGCUAGAUCCUACCUCGAAGUUCCAGUCCCCUCUACUAUGCUCAUCUUGGGAGAAGCCAGAGGACCGAGUGUCUGGCAGCCUGUGUGCUUGGAGAGGCCUGCCCAAAGGGCCCUACCUCACCGUGCCUGUUUGGCAGGGACUUAAAAUCCACCACAGGAAACCGCCAGGCUGGAUCAGACACGAGCUGAGGAAGAAGGCUAUGUGAGGCCAGCUCCCGGUUCCACCCACACCCAGAACCCGGACACUGCCUCCGCUGGAAGGCUGGGCCAGGGAUCGUGGCCAGCCUUCCUCCCAACCCUUUACUUGGCCUUCUCCAGCCUUCAGUGGUCAGUGCUGGGCUCGCCUUACUCAGCACAUUUGGACAAACCCACCGAGGCUGCCCCAGCUCACGAGAAGGGUCCAUCAGGAGAACAGAGUGAACCAGCUCCUGUGGACGGGCAGGCAGCCGGGCCUAUCUGACUAAACCCCCGGAAAACCUGAGAAAUCCUCUGUUCCGGAUCUCCCCACUAGCAGAUUUCUCCCCAUAUCUACCUUGAAGCCCAGGCCCCAGCAACCCUCGGAGGUAAACACCAUGUAAAAUCACCAACUGCUCCUCGAGAGCUUAAACUGCUGUUCUGUUUUGACGAUCAGCUGACUAAUGAAUGUUUCACGGUUUUCCUGCAAUUACCCGGGUCAGGUGCCCUAGUUAUGGAAUGAAGGCAGUAUGUCACAUCUCCCUAAGCGACAGUGAAGAUGCUCUGGUGGCCAGGCAGGCAAAGUUCCAGAGCUGGACACAUGGUCUGGUCUACACCAGGCCCACUCCUCCAGGGACCAGGAGGGUUCCCAUGCGCCCCCCCCCCCCGCCCGCCGUACUCGAGAGGGCAGAGCAGAGGUUCAGAGUAGACAGAUGUUGAGUCCCAACACUGCCACUUCUAGCUGUGUGUCUUCAGGCAAGUUAUUAAACUGCUCUGACCUUCAACUUCCUCUUGCAACAACGGAAUAAUAAUCUCUUAUAAGGCUCUGUGAGGAUUAAAUCAUGCCACUCCUUUAAUAAUGCCCAGCACACGCCUUUGGGUCAUUUCAUUAACAAGGUUAAAAAGAUUCUAGGUAACACCUCUGGGUCUAAGUUAGGACACAAAGUAUAUUUUAUAAAUACCUUCCAAGGGGUGGGGGUGAGAGCCCUGGGUAGAAAAUCCCAAACUAAUUCCCAGUGCUCCACUUACUGGCCUCAUGACUCUAAGGUCGCCAUACCUGAAAAUUGCAAAAAACACCCUCCAGCCAACUUGGCAAUGGAGAUGACAAGGAUGAGAGCUACAGAGUACCACGCAAGGUAAUCAGAGAGGAGAUAACCUCUGCUUCAACACUUUCUAGACAGGGGAAAUAUGGGGAAUACCAGAUGUUCCUCAUUAUCUUCCCAGCCAGGGCUCCAGAUCCCAUUUCUCACCAAUGAUCUCUGAAGCUCUGAGACCCCAGCAAACAGGUUAUUCAAGGAAGCUAAGGGUGACAAUUACGUUCAAGAAGGCUCUGCUCUUACACAGUGAAGAAAGAGAUAAUGUAGAGGAAACCAGGCCAAGGAUGCCAGCUUUUCUGUGCAGGGGCCUAGUCGGCUUCUCAUCUGCAGCUCCUGGCCAGAGAACUCGGUUGACAAGAAGAGCAGCCAGCCAGGUCAGCGUCUGCACUACCGGAUCCCAGCCACUCCAGAGCCCCAUGGUUAUUUUUGGCUGACGCGGCCCCACCGCUGCAACCUCAAACCUGCCACCUUACAAGCCGCCACCACCGGGUGAAACGCUCCUCCUUUUCAAGGGCAUGGAGGAGGGAAGCUGGAAGGCCGCCAACUCCGCCUCGACGGGGGCCUGGCUCAGGCAACUCCCACUCCAGCUCCACACCAGGGCACCCGCACCCGGAACUAAAGCACACAGACUCCCCCGGACCAAGGAACAGCUCCAGCAUUUGUAGUGUCAGCUUGACUCGGCCCCUCCCCCGGGGCUGGAGAGGCUCCAUCAUCACAACAAAACAGGCUGGAGGCCUGCGGCCCUCGCUCGCGUCCCUUCCUGACGCGCCUUGGGUCUCAGAGAUCCAAGCCCCUUCCCCCAUAACCGCCGCCAGCGGCGGCGAGGGGCUACCCGGGGGACAGGCGGAUGGCCAGCCUGAGCUAGAAUCAAACUUCAGGCCGCGCGUGGAGGAGGAGUCUGCAGGCCUCGAGCAGAGGGUAUGGGAGGAGUCUGAAGGCCCCUCCAGGCUCUCCCAGGAACUGCACUGUGCAGGAGCCCCAUGGACCUGCCUCCCCUCUUGCCCCCACCGCACUCCUAUCACUUCUAGCCACUGGACUGUGCCUGCUCACUGAGCGCUACCGGAGGGUGCAGAUUCUCUGCUCUUCGCUGUUCCCAAAUUAGUGGAUGAUGGUGGACUCUGGAGCCUGAAUACUGGGCACAAGCCAGGCCCCCAUAGAGCACUCACUACGUGACCUUGGGCAAGUCACUCUCCCUCUCUGGGCUCAUCUGUAAACAAAGAAACAGACACCGAGAGCAGCUGCAGCUCUCCAUCAGCUGCGCAUGAGGGUUCCGUCCGGCAAGCGUGGAAAAGGCUCACGUGGCUCGCAGUCACAGAAGUGUCGCUCCCAUCAGUCCGCGCUUCACGCCACCGCACGCGCGGCUGCCCGGAGGUGCAGGCCAUGGCAGAGCACCCCCCACAAGCCCCCAGAUUCUGCACAGGGCAGAGCUCUGUCAGCUGGGCCAUGUGCUUCCAGAAUCCAAACCCUACUCAACUCUAUUGCUCUACACUCUUUCCAUCUACUGACUUAACUGAAGCAGAGUUUUGCAGAGGGGGACUCUGGCAGGGUGGAAGGACAGAAUACCUCUGAGACUGCUUCUCCAGUGUCAUCUGCAAAAUGUUCUCUGCCCUCCCUGCCAUUCACACCACUGCUGUGGGGGCUGCCGAGUUCUCAGUGGAUGUGUCCAGCACGGGGUCCCGAGCCCAACUGAGCCAAUGGCCCCUUCCUGAUCACUAGACUUGAGACAAAAUCAUAGUUCUCACCGGGGCUGAAGACUGGACACAGAAGUUGGGAAGUGUCAACUGCUCUUUUUCACAGUGGAUAAAGCUGCAUUUCAGUGACAGCAAAUGGAGCCGACAAUUUCCAGGAAGUGGAAUUGGGAUGGAGAGAUUUUGGUUCAGCCCAGGAAGUCUCAUGUAUGGAGAAGGCAUAAACCUGACUUUUGGGACGGUCAUGUCAUGUUGCUCUGUGGCCUGGACAGCAGGGUGGGCUGGUCUUCAGGAGAGGUGUACCUUUCAUGGGCAGCCCAGGUCCCGCUGUCCUUGGGCUCCUCCACACCCCGAAAAUAAAUCCCUCUCCUUUCUGUUUA
Long non-coding RNA from Mustela erminea (ermine), 4209 nucleotides. RefSeq lists it as uncharacterized. Lineage: Eukaryota; Metazoa; Chordata; Mammalia; Carnivora; Mustelidae. The record is from RefSeq and is a predicted model, not a curated record. The transcript is spliced from 5 exons.